UUGGAGGGCAAGUCUGGUGCCAGCAGCCGCGGUAAUUCCAGCUCCAAUAGCGUAUAUUAAAGUUGUUGCAGUUAAAGAGCUCGUAGUUGAAUUUCGGGAUCAAUAUGUUGGUCGUGCCUUGGUACGUACUAUCUUAUUGGUUUCUCCCUUCUGACGAACCAUGAUGUCAUUAAUUUGGUGUCAUGGGGAAUCAAGAUUGUUACUUUGAAAAAAUUAGAGUGUUUAAAGCAGGCUCACGCUUGAAUAUAUUAGCAUGGAAUAAUGAAAUAGGACGUUUGAUUCUAUUUUGUUGGUUUCUAGGAUCGAUGUAAUGAUUAAUAGGGAUAGUUGGGGGCAUUAGUAUUCAAUUGUCAGAGGUGAAAUUCUUGGAUUUAUUGAAGACUAACUACUGCGAAAGCAUUUGCCAAGGAUGUUUUCAUUAAUCAAGAACGAAAGUUAGGGGAUCGAAGACGAUCAGAUACCGUCGUAGUCUUAACCAUAAACUAUGCCGACUAGGGAUCGGAUGAUGUUAAUUUUUUAAUGACUCAUUCGGCGCCUUACGGGAAACCAAAGUGUUUGGGUUC
Molecule: ribosomal RNA, 563 nt
Filed under: uncultured Glomeromycotina
Lineage: Eukaryota; Fungi; Glomeromycota
Description: SSU rRNA
Rfam family: Eukaryotic small subunit ribosomal RNA
Source: RNAcentral